RNAcentral lists this ribosomal RNA (396 nucleotides) under Kurixalus sp. YGH1406033. RNAcentral describes it as "partial 12S ribosomal RNA". It matches the Rfam family "Bacterial small subunit ribosomal RNA", at positions 794 to 1401 of the family's 1533-position model. Lineage: Eukaryota; Metazoa; Chordata; Amphibia; Anura; Rhacophoridae. The record is from RNAcentral. RNAcentral also lists the same sequence under 3 other names.
GCCAAGCCGUAAAAAAUCAACUCACACCAACCAGCGCCAGGGAAUUACGAGUAAGACUUAAAACCCAAAGGACUUGACGGUGUCCUACCCCCUACUAGAGGAGCCUGUUCUAUAAUCGAUAAUCCACGUUAUACCCAACCAUCACUUGCUUAUCAGCCUGUAUACCUCCGUCGCAAGCUUACCAUAUGAACGCAUAACAGUAGGCCCAAGGACUUAGCGCCACAACGUCAGGUCAAGGUGCAGCUUAUGAGAUGGAAAGCAAUGGGCUACAAUUUCUAAAUUAGAACAAACGAAAAACUACAUGAAACAUAGACAUGAAGGUGGAUUUAGUAGUAAAUAAGGAAUAGAGAGCCUUAUUAAACUUGGCCCUGGGACGUGUACACACCGCCCGUCACC